GCCGGGCGCGGUGGCGGGCGCCUGUAGUCCCAGCUACUCGGGAGGCUGAGGCAGGAGAAUGGCAUGAACCCGGGAGGCAGAGCUUGCAGUGAGCGGAGAUCGUGCCACUGCAUUCCAGCCUGGGUGACAGAGCCAGAUUCUGUCUCAA
Molecule: non-coding RNA, 148 nt
Filed under: Nomascus leucogenys (northern white-cheeked gibbon)
Lineage: Eukaryota; Metazoa; Chordata; Mammalia; Primates; Hylobatidae
Source: Rfam by way of RNAcentral